Molecule: ribosomal RNA, 467 nt
Filed under: uncultured bacterium
Lineage: Bacteria
Description: bacterial SSU rRNA
Rfam family: Bacterial small subunit ribosomal RNA
Source: RNAcentral
UUCCAGACUCCUACGGGAGGCAGCAGUGUGGAAUAUUGGUCAAUGGGCGAGAGCCUGAACCAGCCAAGUCGCGUGAGGGAAGGCGGUCCUAUGGAUUGUAAACCUCUUUUGUCGGGGAGCAAAAAGGCCUCGUGAGGCCACAAGCGAGAGUACCCGAAGAAAAAGCAUCGGCUAACUCCGUGCCAGCAGCCGCGGUAAUACGGAGGAUGCGAGCGUUAUCCGGAUUUAUUGGGUUUAAAGGGUGCGUAGGCGGACAGUCAAGUCAGCGGUAAAAAUGCGGUGCUCAACGCCGUACAGCCGUUGAAACUGGCAGUCUUGAGUGGGCGAGAAGUAUGCGGAAUGCGUGGCGUAGCGGUGAAAUGCAUAGAUAUCACGCAGAACUCCGAUUGCGAAGGCAGCAUACCGGCGCCCGACUGACGCUGAGGCACGAAAGCGUGGGUAUCGAACAGGAUUAGAUACCCGAGUAG